Molecule: long non-coding RNA, 1024 nt
Organism: Macrobrachium nipponense
Lineage: Eukaryota; Metazoa; Arthropoda; Malacostraca; Decapoda; Palaemonidae
Exons: 3
Source: RefSeq, a predicted model, not a curated record
GGUGGAUCGAGAUACUGGAUCGGACUCUACCGAGAGGACUCUGCAGCAAAUCCAGUGUGGAUGAAUGUCAAUGGAAACAAGUCAGUGACCUCAGGCACCAUAACUGGGAGUGGGAGUGAAAACUGUUAUUCAUUGUAUAAAGGUGCAUCCUGGAUUGUUGAGGACCACAUCUGUAACAAUGCCCUGUGCUUUGUGUGUGAAAGAAACUUCUAUUAGUCCGAAGAACCACCUGUGUGAUGCUGUCACAACCUAGACCCAUGCUGCUAUUAACCUAGAACCCAACUGUGAUGCUGUAACAACCUAGACCCCUCUGCUAUUACCCAGAACCCAACUGUGGUGCUGCUAUUAACCUAGAACCCAACUGUGAUGCUGCUAUUAACCUAGAACCCAGCUGUGAUGCUGAUUUCUACCGGAAACCAUCUGUCUCAUUGUCUUGCUCAAUAAGUGUCGACUUAAUAGUGUUGUUUUAAUUCAGAAUUGAGUGUGUUGUCCCACGACUUAACUUAAUACUGUUUGUUUCAGUUCAUGAUUGAAUUCAGGGCUACAUUUUUUUUUUACUGCAACUACAAUAGUGUGUUUGAGUUUUUGUGUGUGUGUGUGUGAGUUUGUCUAAAGCCAACUGCAGUGUUGUGUUAAUUAUAAUAGUGUUUACACUGUGUGAUCGUUUCACUAGAGUUUUUAACAGUUUGAGUGUGUGUUUGUGUGUGUUUUAUUUCCAGUUAGUUACAGAGUGGCUCUCAUCCUAAGCUAUAUAUAAUCUCUGAUCCCUAUUUCACUAUAAUUUCAUUUUUAAAACGCGUCCCAUCACCCUGGUUUAUGACUAGGCCUAGUACUGUGUGACCUCUCCUUAAACAAAUGAACAGUUUUUUUCUAGUCAUAUAGAGUUGUCGUUACCUAGAAUUAAAUGUAUACCAUAUUUUAAAUCAAAUCUAAAGCAAUUGCGUGGUAUUGCCAAGCACUGGUUUGUUCCCAUGACAAGCAAAGGUUGUAGUAUAGGCCUACAUGUUCAGUUUUACAAGCUAUU